This 713-nucleotide ribosomal RNA is filed under the name Lecithodendrium sp. Xiphidiocercariae_type_2_Bithynia_funiculata2. RNAcentral's name for it is "SSU rRNA". It matches the Rfam family "Eukaryotic small subunit ribosomal RNA", at positions 132 to 748 of the family's 1831-position model. Lineage: Eukaryota; Metazoa; Platyhelminthes; Trematoda; Plagiorchiida; Lecithodendriidae. The record is from RNAcentral.
ACACUACAUGGGAUAACUGUAGUAAUUCUAGAGCUAAUACAUGCCACGAUGCCCUGACCCAUUCGGGAAUGGGUGCAUUUAUUAGAACAGAACCAACCGGGUGCAUUCCUUCGGGUUUGCGCCUGUCACAUUCUGUGAUGACUCUGGAUAACUUUGCUGAUCGCAGUCGGCCUUGUGUCGGCGACAAAUCUUUCAAAUGUCUGCCCUAUCAAUUGUCGAUGGUAAGUGACCUGCUUACCAUGGUGAUAACGGGUAACGGGGAAUCAGGGUUCGAUUCCGGAGAAGGAGCCUGAGAAACGGCUACUAUUUCCAAGGAAGGCAGCAGGCGCGCAACUUACCCAAUCCCGGCACGGGGAGGUAGUGAAGAUAAAUACGGAUGCAGAACUCAACAGAGGCUCUGUAAUUCGAAUGAGUACAAUUCAAAUCCUUUAACGAGGAGCAACUGGAGGGCAAGUCUGGUGCCAGCAGCCGCGGUAAUUCCAGCUCCAGAAGCGUAUAUUAAAGUUGUUGCAGUUAAAAAGCUCGUAGUUGGAUCUGGGACGCAUGGCUUCGUGCCGUCCCUUGCAUUUCCGGUCUAGCUUAGGUUGGGCUGGAUUUGUGAGGCGGCUUCGUAGCUGUGUAGCCUUUCUGCCGUGUCUGUUUACAGGUGCUGACGGUCAAUACGUUGGCAUGCUUCCAGAUGCCUUUGACCGGGUGUCGGGAGCGGACGGCAA